RNA transcript from Otolemur garnettii (small-eared galago), 783 nucleotides. It is a transcript of the gene named coiled-coil domain-containing protein 47 pseudogene, with no coding region annotated. Lineage: Eukaryota; Metazoa; Chordata; Mammalia; Primates; Galagidae. The transcript has a single exon. The record is from RefSeq and is a predicted model, not a curated record.
GAUUCCUCAAGAGACAAGACUUACUGAAUGUCCUGGCCCGGAUGAUGAGGCCAGUGAGUGAUCAAAUGCAAAUAAAAGUAACCAUGAAUGAUGAAGACAUGGAUACCUAUGUGUUUGCUGUUGGCACAUGGAAGGCCUUGGUGCAACUGCAAAAGAAAUGCAGGACCUGAGUGUGUUUUGUAGUGAUAAACCUAAAUCUGAAGCAAAGUAUGGAUUGCCAGACUCCUUGGCCAUCCUGUCAGAGAUAGGAGAAGUCACAGAGGGAAUGAUGGAUACAAAGAUGGUUCACUUUCUUACACACUAUGCUGACAAGAUUGAAUCCAUCCACUUUUCAGACCAGUUCUCUGGUCCAAAAAUUAUGCAAGAGGAAGGUCAGUCUUUGAAGCUACCUGACACUAAGAGGACACUAUUGUUUACAUUUAAUGUGCCUGGAUCAGAUAACACUUACCCAAAGGAUAUGGAGGCUUUGCUAUCCCUGAUGAACAUGAUGAUUUACUCUAUUGAUAAAGCCAAAAAGUUCCGACUCAACAGAGAAGGCAAACAAAAAGCAGAUAAGAACCAUACUCGUGUAGAAGAGAACUUCUUGAAGCUGACACAUGUGCAAAGACAGGAAGCUGCACAGUCUCGGCUGGAGAAAAAGAAAAGGGCAGAGAAGGAGUGAAUCAUGAAUAAGGAAGUUAAUGAGGAACAGCGCAGGCUGGAAGAAGCUCCUUUGAGGCGUGAGCAAAAGAAGUCAGAGAAGCAGCAAAUGAAAAUGAAACAAAUCAAAGUAAAAGCCAUGUA